RNAcentral lists this ribosomal RNA (468 nucleotides) under uncultured bacterium. Its description in RNAcentral is "partial 16S ribosomal RNA". It matches the Rfam family "Bacterial small subunit ribosomal RNA", at positions 28 to 507 of the family's 1533-position model. The record is from RNAcentral.
GACGAACGCUGGCGGCGUGCUUAACACAUGCAAGUCGAACGGAAAGGCCCUGCUUUUGUGGGGUGCUCGAGUGGCGAACGGGUGAGUAACACGUGAGUAACCUGCCCUUGACUUUGGGAUAACUUCAGGAAACUGGGGCUAAUACCGGAUAGGAGCUCCUGCUGCAUGGUGGGGGUUGGAAAGUUUCGGCGGUUGGGGAUGGACUCGCGGCUUAUCAGCUUGUUGGUGGGGUAGUGGCUUACCAAGGCUUUGACGGGUAGCCGGCCUGCGGGGGUGACCGGCCAAAUUGGGACUGGAGUACCGCCCAGAACCCUACGGGGAGGAGCAGGGGGGAAUAUUGCACCAAGGGCGGAAGGCUUGUGCAGCAACGGCGGGGGGGGGAAGACGGCCUUUGGGUUUGAAACCGGCUUUGCCUGGUACCGAAGGGUAGGUGCGGUAAAGGGGAAAAGAAGACCCGCUAACUUCCUU